Molecule: long non-coding RNA, 419 nt
Organism: Manis pentadactyla (Chinese pangolin)
Lineage: Eukaryota; Metazoa; Chordata; Mammalia; Pholidota; Manidae
Exons: 3
Source: RefSeq, a predicted model, not a curated record
AGACACUUUGGAGCUGCGAUAAAAUUCAAAACACGCAAAGAUACAUUGCUGGUUGCUGCGACAGAAGAUGACACUCCAAAGGUCCAGCCCAAGAGGUGGCUGAAAUGUACACGUUUCCACUGAGCCUCAACCUGGCUUUCUGCUUAUUAAGAGCUCCCCAGGUCAUUGCACUGCAAAGGCUUUGCUGGAGUUACAGAACGUCAAAGGACCUCAACUCAGAAAGAAUAAACACUGGGAUGGAUUUGGAGUCACCCCACCCAGGCUCAGAUCCCCUGCUUUCUAGCCAGAUGACCCUCGAGCUGCUGUUUAAGCUGCUUCAACUUCCUCAUCUGCAAAAUGAACACAGAAAUAGUUCCUACCUCAUAUUACUUUUCAUUAGGAUCAUUGAGAUGCUGUCUGAGAAAUACUUGUAAAUACUA